This 254-nucleotide ribosomal RNA is filed under the name uncultured prokaryote. Its description in RNAcentral is "partial 16S ribosomal RNA". It matches the Rfam family "Bacterial small subunit ribosomal RNA", at positions 525 to 777 of the family's 1533-position model. The record is from RNAcentral.
ACGGAGGGUGCGAGCGUUGUCCGGAAUCAUUGGGCGUAAAGCGCACGUAGGCGGUCCGUUAAGUCUCUUGGUGAAAGGCUGGGGCUCAGCCCCAAGCAUGCCGGGGAUACUGGGGGACUGGAGACAGGCAGAGGCCAGCGGAAUUCCGGGUGUAGCGGUGGAAUGCGUAGAGAUCCGGAAGAACACCGGAGGCGAAGGCGGCUGGCUGGGCCUGAUCUGACGCUGAGGUGCGAAAGCGUGGGGAGCGAACAGGA